This 498-nucleotide ribosomal RNA is filed under the name uncultured bacterium. RNAcentral describes it as "partial 16S ribosomal RNA". It matches the Rfam family "Bacterial small subunit ribosomal RNA", at positions 29 to 507 of the family's 1533-position model. The record is from RNAcentral.
ACGAACGCUGGCGGCGUGCCUAAUACAUGCAAGUCGAGCGGACUGAAUGGGAGCUUGCUCUUGUUCGGUCAGCGGCGGACGGGCGAGUAACACGUGGGCAACCUGCCCGCAAGACCGGGAUAACUCCGGGAAACCGGAGCUAAUACCGGAUAACACCGAAGACCGCAUGGUCUUUGGUUGAAAGGCGGCGCAAGCUGCCACUUGCGGAUGGGCCCGCGGCGCAUUAGCUAGUUGGUGAGGUAACGGCUCACCAAGGCGACGAUGCGUAGCCGGCCUGAGAGGGUGACCGGCCACACUGGGACUGAGACACGGCCCAGACUCCUACGGGAGGCAGCAGUAGGGAAUCUUCCGCAAUGGGCGAAAGCCUGACGGAGCGACGCCGCGUGAGCGAAGAAGGCCUUCGGGUCGUAAAGCUCUGUUGUGAGGGACGAAGGAGCGCCGUUUGAAGAAGGCGGCGCGGUGACGGUACCUCACGAGGAAGCCCCGGCUAACUACGUG